GUAGCAUAAUCACUUGUUCUUUAAAUGAGGACUCGUAUCAACGGCAUCACGAGGAUCCUACUGUCUCCCCCCUCUAAUCGGUGAAACUGAUCUCUCCGUGAAGAAGCGGAGAUGUACAUAUAAGACGAGAAGACCCCAUGGAGCUUUAAACCCAACAACACCCGCCCCCCUCCAAAUCCUAUUAUUUACCCGGUGAUUGUUUGUUUGGUUUUAGGUUGGGGUGACCGCGGAGUAUAAGAUAUCCUCCAUGAAAAA
RNAcentral lists this ribosomal RNA (255 nucleotides) under Boophis madagascariensis (Madagascar bright-eyed frog). RNAcentral describes it as "partial 16S ribosomal RNA". It matches the Rfam family "Archaeal large subunit ribosomal RNA", at positions 2033 to 2380 of the family's 2987-position model. Lineage: Eukaryota; Metazoa; Chordata; Amphibia; Anura; Mantellidae. The record is from RNAcentral.